Molecule: transfer RNA, 68 nt
Filed under: Marmota monax (woodchuck)
Lineage: Eukaryota; Metazoa; Chordata; Mammalia; Rodentia; Sciuridae
Description: tRNA.Ala
Source: RNAcentral
GUUGUUGCUCAGUGGUAGAGCACUCACCUAGCAUGUGUGAGGCCCUGGGUUCGAUCCUCAAUACCACA